This 339-nucleotide long non-coding RNA is filed under the name Populus trichocarpa (black cottonwood). RNAcentral's name for it is "long non-coding RNA (PTRI_LNC004825)". Lineage: Eukaryota; Viridiplantae; Streptophyta; Magnoliopsida; Malpighiales; Salicaceae. The record is from RNAcentral.
UGAGUUUGUGCAAAGAGUUGAGAGAAAGAGAGAGCUGCAAUGGCAGCAGCCUUGCUGCCAUUGCAGCAGCUGCGAGAGCUGAGAGUUGAUGAGUUGAGUAGAGUGAUGUAAUCCUCCUCCUCUCCAUGUAUUUGUUGUAAUCCUUUCUCUAUCCCUAAUACAAUGACUCUCUCCCGUGGAUGUAGGCGGAUUUGCCGAACCACGUAAAAUAUUGUCCCAGUGUGCUUUACCCUCUCCUUUGAGCAAUUAUCAGUACACCCCCGGUCGGAAUUCCCAACAAUUGGUAUCAGAGCUGAUGGUUUAAAGGGGUGUUUGAUUUUUGCUCAAAAAUGAAAGUUG